AAAAGAAAGAAGUGAGGACAGAGCAAGAGGCACAAGAAUGAAAAGAAAGAAAGAAAUAGAUAGAAGUAAAAAGGGAGAUCAAAAAAAGGGAUCCAGAGGAAACCAAAAAAUAGGAUCAUAGAGAAAGCUGAAGAAGGAAGUAGCUGAAGGAGGAAACCGAAAAAGCGUUCAUCUACGUAUAACAUCUGUAUGCGUGUGUCUCUGUAAGCGUGCAUUAUUUGUAUGUCUAUUUACGUAUUUUGUAUGCGUGUGUACCUAUG
Bombus pascuorum is the source of this 260-nucleotide long non-coding RNA. RefSeq lists it as uncharacterized. The record is from RefSeq and is a predicted model, not a curated record. Lineage: Eukaryota; Metazoa; Arthropoda; Insecta; Hymenoptera; Apidae. The transcript is spliced from 2 exons.